RNAcentral lists this ribosomal RNA (208 nucleotides) under uncultured bacterium. RNAcentral describes it as "partial 16S ribosomal RNA". It matches the Rfam family "Bacterial small subunit ribosomal RNA", at positions 568 to 774 of the family's 1533-position model. The record is from RNAcentral.
CUCGUAGGUGGCCAUCUAAGUCAGACGUGAAAUCCCUCGGCUUAACCGGGGAACUGCGUCUGAUACUGGAUGGCUUGAGUGUGGGAGAGGGAUGCGGAAUUCCAGGUGUAGCGGUGAAAUGCGUAGAUAUCUGGAGGAACACCGGUGGCGAAGGCGGCAUCCUGGACCACGACUGACGCUGAGUGAGCGAAAGCCAGGGGAGCAAACG